Molecule: long non-coding RNA, 1195 nt
Organism: Gadus macrocephalus (Pacific cod)
Lineage: Eukaryota; Metazoa; Chordata; Actinopteri; Gadiformes; Gadidae
Exons: 7
Source: RefSeq, a predicted model, not a curated record
AGCUGAAAGGCGAGGCUGAGAGACUGGGGACCGGAGGCUUGUGGUGCCAGGAUGGACCAGAGACUGAGGCUGGAGACCAGGGGCCUGCAGCACCGGACCAGAGGACCAGGAAUCCAUGGCUGAAGGAGCUGAUGGAGGAGUCGUGCUGAAGGAGCUGAUGGAGGAGCUGAUGGAGGAGUCGUGCUGAAGGCCCUGCCUGGUGGAGGAGCUGGUGGAGGCCCUGCCUGGUGGAGGACGUCUGUCGUGGGACCAGGACUCUGUCUGAGGAGAGCUGCUGGAGGACGACUAGGAAUCGACCAACAAGGAUUCCUCAACGUGUUUCUGGAGCGGAGGCGAGCUGGUAGGGGAGCCGUGAAUCUGGAGGAUGACCAUCACUCUACCAACAAGGAUUACUUUAGGGCCAGACUCGCGCUGUUUGUUCCAGACCAGGACUCUGGCUGAGGAGAGCUGAUGGAGGAGCCAAGACUCUGGAGGACGACAUCACUCCACCAACCAGGAUCCUCAGCCAAAUUACGUUCGUAACCAGACCAGGAAUCUGGAGGACUGAUGGAGAAGCCGUACAAUCCUGAGGACCACCAGAACUCUACCAUCAAGGAUUCCUCAUAAGUGUGCAUCAUCUGGAUAUAGUGGACAAGACACAGCUGAGCUGAACCUCACCUGAUCCUGUUUGGUCGGGGGUAGACGCACCUGAGCUAAACCCGCCCUGAUCCUGACAUCCUGCUGGUCCCGUCUCCUCAGUUCAUCUGAGCCUCGUCCUCCAGAAGACCUGCUGAGCUCAGCAGUCUGAGGCUGAUGGAUCAAUGACCUCCAGUGGGAGUGAUCUUCUUGACCCCACAUGUAACCGUGUGCUUCCACACGCCUUUCCCUCACGUCUGUCACUAACCUCACUACUUCACUACUCUCUACUGCUUCCUCUUUUCUUCCUUCUCUGUGGUUCGAACCUUUACACUGGAGGCGCGUCUCCAUGCCCUCAGAGGGUUCAGCGUUAGGGUUGAGAGUCAGGGUUUAGAGUCAGGGACAGAGCUGGUCAGGGAGGACUGCUUUACACAAACCUCUUCACUUGCUUUCGGAAUGGUGGUGACAUUUUGAAAAGAUUCAUUUGGGAAAAUGUUUUCCUCUGCUUUCCUUUACAAAAUUGUAUUAAACUUCUGUCAAGUGUUUUUGUUUAUAUAUUAAAAUCCCACAUUGACUUCUA